UUGGGUUUAUGGAUCCAUUUACUCACCCAUCUUCAUAUUUUCUGUUAAGCCCUUGCCAAAAAUCAAUUUCAUAUGCUAUCAGGUCGAAACCCUAAUCUCUCUAGAAAAACUAUUGCAUCUUAUCCCAAUUCAGGUUCUUAAUCAACAUGAUUCAUAUGCUUACAUGGAUUUUAGAGCACUAUGAUCGAAUGCUAAGGUAAUUUUUGCGUUUCUUCAUCGGAAAGUGAUACGAUUGUUUUAGUCUUUGGACUUCCCUUUGUCGGUUUUGCAGGUAUUACAAACUGGAGUCGGAAAUCGCACAUGCACUUCAGCCUCACAUCUUCAUUUUCUUGCUUUCUUCUUCUGAUUCUUGAUGAUCAUUCCCAAAAUCGAAAAGAAAAAAAAAUAGAAACAUUAAACCCCAGUUGGGUAACCACGAAACUGAUGAAAGAUGUUGAUUUGAGGUAAAAUCUCUUUUGAAGCAUCUUAAUAAUUCAAGGUUUUAAUUUUUAACUAUGUUGAACAUGGAAAUAACUGUUUUGAAAUUGGGAUCAUUAUCUUAGACUCUAAAGCAUCCAAAUUUGUUUCUAAGUUCACUUAGAAUCUUGAUUUUUUGAAGUAAAAUGGGAACAUAGUUGAUGAAUUUUGUUGCAAGGGAAAAUAAUAUGCUCCAUUUUUAUAAUAGUUGUGUUAUAGCUAUCAGAAUUACGUUAUAGUCGAAGGCGAGUAUUAUUAUAAUAUUUUGAUUUGAGUUUUCAGUGAUUAUCUUAUACAUAAUUUAACUCUCAAGCUUAGUGUUGUUUCUUAAAUCUAUAUAUACACAUCUUGUUUUGAUAUGGUUUUUAGGUUUAAUUUCAUGGGAAAAGGAAUGCUAAAAAUAAAUAAACUCUCGAUAAUUAUAUGUAUAAUACGUAGGACUAUUACUUUUGGUUAAUUGAAUGCAUAUUUUCUUUUGCCAUUUUGUGUAUUUUCAAAGUAACGAAUUGAAAAAAAAGUAACGAAUUUUACUAAUCUUGAUGAAAUUUUUUAAUCUGAAUCAAGUCUCCUAAUGCUCAGAUUCCAAGAUUGUUGAAAGUACAAUUGAAAAGUUUUGAUCAGUAUGAACAAUUUUCCGAUUACAUCUUUGCAGGAUCAAGAAUCUUUAUAUCCAUAAUCAACCCAACAAAUGAAUUCCAGGCAAUCGGAAAAUUUUAAGACAAAGUGUUUUUUUAUUUAAAUAUUAAAAAAAGCUUUAUAAAUCCAACCCAAUAGUUUUUGAAUCAUACACAAAAAAGCCCUUUGUUGUGACUUUUAAUUACAAUUUUGAUUUAACUUCAAACUAAUAUUGAUUUCUUUCAUAUAAGCAACCUCAAAAUCGGUUUUGAGAUUGAUGUGAUUGAAGGGGUUGAAAUUGUACCUUUUGAAGAGCAAUUGAUUUUAUUAUUAUUAUUAUUAUUAUUAUUAUUAUUAUUAUUAUUAUUAUUAUUAUUUUGCGUCAUGUACUUUAGAGCAACCAUGUUUCUAUUUUUUGUUAAUUUUUUCUUGUGACCUAUAAUCAUGACAUUAUAAAGAAAACAAAAUAUAUUACCAACAUCUCAUAAUAGCAUUGUGCUUUCUAGAAAUGACCAAAAUACAAAAUACCAACAUAUCAAAACUUUAACCAAACUACGUCCUACACAAUAUUGCAUAUACAUUAUAGCAUUAUAUACACUAUAACAUUAUAUUUUUUUUCAUUUUUCCAUUAUAACAUUGUACUAUACUAAACUAACAGUUACCAACAUAUCAUUAUAGCAUACUACUUUACAAAUUAAGGUCAUGAUGAUUAUAGCAUCUUACUUUUUUUUCCCCAUUAUAACAUUGUAAUUUUAAAAUACACUUAAACUAACAAUUACUGUGAUUGUGGUAGUGGCUGUGUCAGUGGUUGUUCCUGAUCGUACAUAGAUACAACCUUAGAAGGUUCACGCUCGAUGCCUCUGGCCGCGUUGAUAACCCAAUAUUCUUUCAAAAUAUUUUUUAAAUCCUUUAGUGUUAUACCCCUUGCUUUAGAAGAAGCUUGAGUUUGUUGAUUGAUCUCUUGGAGUAAAAGAUUCCGUAUUUUCAAAAAAUGAUAAACAUCAUAAAAUUAGAUUGCUAAAUACCCCUUGACGAUACAAACACUUAUAUGAAACUACAAAUUAACCAUUUAGGUAUUGUUGCUCGACUACUGGGCUACUAAAUACCCCUUGACGAUCGGUAUUAGGCUUACAAAUUGCUUUGAGUCGAGUGAUGUCUUAUUUAACAUUAAAAAUUAGAUUAAUUAUACUUUAAAUAAACAGUUAAAUAUAUCGUAACUUACUUCUUUGAAAUAUGCUUGUGAUCCAAGUUAACCUUAUCCAAAUCAAAAUUUCUCUAUAAAUACAAAAAAGUUAGUUAAUUAAAUACUAAUUACAACUAAACUUAAAAUGUUAUUUAAGUUACCUUUAGAUGCACGACUUUGGCAUUCCUUAAAGUAGGGGAAACAUUGUCCGAAUCAGAUACACUAAAAGGGACGUUCUCCCAUAUAUACAUCCUAAUAUCAUGUGUAAAUGAUAUUUCUAUAUUUAUACACAUUUUUAGGAAAUAUUUUAAUACAUUUUAUUUAAUAUUUUGGUUAUAUGCAAAUAUAUAUAGUACUUAUUGAAUUAAAUUGUAUUUUGUAGCCAAUAGAAACACUCUUGAAGAAUAGGGGCCAGAAUUGACAAGAAUUGGAACUUUGGAGGAUGGAAGCUUAAAAGAAGAAAAUUCCAGCGAAAAACCCAAAUCACGACCUGGCCAUCAAAAUCACGACGUGGAGUGAGUAUUCUGAAAGAUAAAAACGCGGGAAGUCAGAAUCUUUGCCCGAUAAGGAUUGUACCAAAGUCAUGCCAUCACAUCCUUGUUCACGUCGUGGAGCACGGAAUUUUCAAAACUAUAAAUACUCCUUCAUUGUUACGUUUUGAGGAGACUUUUUUGAAAGGUUUUUGGAGAGUUUUUUUGGAAGAGAAUUAUUCUGAGAAACCGAAUUUAAAGUCUAGAAAGUGCACAAAACAUCAUUGGAAGGAGAAUUGCUUGGAGAUCGAGAGAUAGACCUCUUCUUUUUGUAGGAAACGAAACUCAAGUGAAAAAUAUAAUUAAAAAUAUUAGUCACGAUGUCUUAUAAUAAAUGAAUAAAAAUAACUAAUAAAUAUAUCAUAAUAAGAUUUACCAUCCUGUUCGUGUUGUCCGUGACCAAAGCCUACUGGAGGUGGUGGAUCCCCGACUCCAUCACCUCCAUGUCUUAGGCCCGUAACAUCCGCCAUCAUAUAAAAGAGUAUUGCCCAACUAACCCCUAUAUAUAGCCUACAAAAUUACAAGAUGUACAAUAUAGAAACACAAUAUGAAUAAAAUUUAACAUUGCACUUUCCAUUAUAACAUUGUACUUUCAAAACUGCAUACAGAUACACAAACUAUUUUUUUUCAUUUUUCUCAUUAUAGCAUUGUACUUUCCAAAUUACAUACAAAUACACACAUAUUAAGCCCUUGUACUUUACAAAUUAAGUUCGUGAUUAUUAUAACAUUAUACUUCACAAAAUAACGGCAUGCUUAUUUUUUCCAUUAUAACAUUGUACUUUACAAAUACUCAAACUACAUAUAUAAUUUUUUAUACAUAAACAUACACAUAUACAUACAUACUACUCAUAGAAAACACAUAUACAAACAUGAUACAUAUGCAUAUGUAAUACAAAUACAAACACACAUAUACAUACAUAAUACACAUACAAAAUAUAGAUAUACAUACAAAUGCUAUAUUCCAUAUUCGAUCCCUCAUGUGUUCCUAUAUUUCAUAUUUAUACCAAACCAUGUGACUUUAUUCUUGUUAGAUACGUACUAUUUAUUUAUAUAACCAUGUUUUGUUUUUAUUUUAGACCAUCUCCAACCCACUCCUAUUUUUUCUCUUAAUAAUGGAGUAAAAAAUGAGGUAAAUAGUGUUUCAUCUCCAACCGUACUCCAUUUUUUACCUUAUUUUUAACCCCAAAAAGUAUAUUCCUAGUAUAUUAUAUUAUUUCAACUUAGAUAGAUUGUCAAAC
RNAcentral lists this long non-coding RNA (4022 nucleotides) under Lactuca sativa (garden lettuce). RNAcentral's name for it is "long non-coding RNA (LSAT_LNC008062)". Lineage: Eukaryota; Viridiplantae; Streptophyta; Magnoliopsida; Asterales; Asteraceae. The record is from RNAcentral.